Molecule: small nuclear RNA, 107 nt
Filed under: Microcebus murinus (gray mouse lemur)
Lineage: Eukaryota; Metazoa; Chordata; Mammalia; Primates; Cheirogaleidae
Source: RNAcentral
GUGUUCACUUUGGCAGCAUAUCUACUAAAACUGGAAAGAUACAGGGAUGAUUAGCAUGGCCCCUGCCCAAGGAUGACAUGCAAAUUCAUGAACUGGCCCAUUAAAAA